RNAcentral lists this ribosomal RNA (484 nucleotides) under uncultured bacterium. RNAcentral describes it as "partial 16S ribosomal RNA". It matches the Rfam family "Bacterial small subunit ribosomal RNA", at positions 30 to 507 of the family's 1533-position model. The record is from RNAcentral.
AUUGAACGCUGGCGGCAGGCCUAACACAUGCAAGUCGAGCGGAUGAAGGGAGCUUGCUCCUGGAUUCAGCGGCGGACGGGUGAGUAAUGCCUAGGAAUCUGCCUGGUAGUGGGGGAUAACGUCCGGAAACGGGCGCUAAUACCGCAUACGUCCUGAGGGAGAAAGUGGGGGAUCUUCGGACCUCACGCUAUCAGAUGAGCCUAGGUUGGAUUAGCUAGUUGGUGGGGUAAAGGCCUACCAAGGCGACGAUCCGUAACUGGUCUGAGAGGAUGAUCAGUCACACUGGAACUGAGACACGGUCCAGACUCCUGCGGGAGGCAGCAGUGGGGAAUAUUGGACAAUGGGCGAAAGCCUGAUUCAGCCAUGCCGCGUGUGUGAAGAAGGUCUUCGGAUUGUAAAGCACUUUAAGUUGGGAGGAAGGGCAGUAAGUUAAUACCUUGCUGUUUUGACGUUACCAACAGAAUAAGCACCGGCUAACUUCGUG